AGAGUUUGAUCCUGGCUCAGGAUGAACGCUGGCGGCGUGCCUAACACAUGCAGGUCGAGCGAAGCACUUUGCUUAGAUUCUUCGGAUGAAGAGGAUUGUGACUGAGCGGCGGACGGGUGAGUAACGCGUGGGUAACCUGCCUCGUACAGGGGGAUAACAGUUAGAAAUGACUGCUAAUACCGCAUAAGACCACAGCACCGCAUGGUGCAGGGGUAAAAACUCCGGUGGUAUGAGAUGGACCCGCGUCUGAUUAGCUAGUUGGUAAGGUAACGGCUUACCAAGGCGACGAUCAGUAGCCGACCUGAGAGGGUGACCGGCCACAUUGGGACCGAGACACGGCCCAAACUCCUACGGGAGGCAGCAGUGGGGAAUAUUGCACAAUGGGGGAAACCCUGAUGCAGCGACGCCGCGUGAGCGAAGAAGUAUUUUCGGUAUGUAAAGCUCUAUCAGCAGGGAAGAAAAUGACGGUACCUGACUAAGAAGCACCGGCUAAAUACGCGCCAGCAGCCACGGUAAUACGUAUGGUGCAAGCGUUAUCCGGAUUUUACCUGGGUGUAAAAGGGGGGGUAGCGGGGUGGGGCAAGUCUGAUGUGGAAAACCCGGGGCUCAACCCCGGGACUGCAUUGGAAACUGUUCUUCUAGAGUGUUGGAGAGGUAAGUGGAAUUCCUAGUGUAGCGGUGAAAUGCGUAGAUAUUAGGAGGAACACCAGUGGGGAAGGCGGCUUACUGGACAGUAACUGACGUUGAGGCUCGAAAGCGUGGGGAGCAAACAGGAUUAGAUACCCUGGUAGUCCACGCCGUAAA
RNAcentral lists this ribosomal RNA (804 nucleotides) under uncultured bacterium. Its description in RNAcentral is "bacterial SSU rRNA". It matches the Rfam family "Bacterial small subunit ribosomal RNA", at positions 8 to 806 of the family's 1533-position model. The record is from RNAcentral.